GCCUUCGUGGUGUAAUGGCCAGCACACUCGGCGCGUUAUUCGAGAGGUCGGAGGUUCGAGUCCCGGCGAGGGCA
Molecule: non-coding RNA, 74 nt
Organism: Stegodyphus mimosarum
Lineage: Eukaryota; Metazoa; Arthropoda; Arachnida; Araneae; Eresidae
Source: Rfam